UAUAUAUUCUAAAUUAGCAACUUUUAAACACUAAGUCAAACAGAUAUUCCCUCUGUUCCUUUUUGUUUGAUUGUUUAGAAAAAAAAAUUUGUUUCUAAAAGAUUGAUUUUUUAAGUUUUCCAUGUAAUAUUAUUGGUUA
This 139-nucleotide small RNA is filed under the name Arabidopsis thaliana (thale cress). RNAcentral's name for it is "ATSL114830". Lineage: Eukaryota; Viridiplantae; Streptophyta; Magnoliopsida; Brassicales; Brassicaceae. The record is from RNAcentral.